AUUGAACGCUGGCGGCAUGCCUUACACAUGCAAGUCGAACGGUAACAGGUCUUCGGAUGCUGACGAGUGGCGAACGGGUGAGUAAUACAUCGGAACGUGCCUAGUAGUGGGGGAUAACUACUCGAAAGAGUGGCUAAUACCGCAUGAGAUCUACGGAUGAAAGCAGGGGAUCGCAAGACCUUGUGCUACUAGAGCGGCCGAUGGCAGAUUAGGUAGUUGGUGGGAUAAAAGCUUACCAAGCCGACGAUCUGUAGCUGGUCUGAGAGGACGAUCAGCCACACUGGGACUGAGACACGGACCAGACUCCUACGGGAGGCAGCAGUGGGGAAUUUUGGACAAUGGGCGAAAGCCUGAUCCAGCAAUGCCGCGUGCAGGAUGAAGGCCUUCGGGUUGUAAACUGCUUUUGUACGGAGCGAAAAGCCCUGGGUUAAUACCCUGGGGUCAUGACGGUACCGUAAGAAUAAGCACCGGCUAACUACGUGCCAGCCGCCGCUGUAA
Molecule: ribosomal RNA, 498 nt
Filed under: uncultured bacterium
Lineage: Bacteria
Description: partial 16S ribosomal RNA
Rfam family: Bacterial small subunit ribosomal RNA
Source: RNAcentral